UACGAAGGGAGCUAGCGUUGUUCGGAAUUACUGGGCGUAAAGCGCACGUAGGCGGACUUGCCAGUCAGGGGUGAAAUCCCAAGGCUCAACCUUGGAACUGCCUCCGAUACAGCAAGUCUUGAGAUCGGGAGAGGUGAGUGGAAUUCCUAGUGUAGAGGUGAAAUUCGUAGAUAUUAGGAAGAACACCAGUGGCGAAGGCGGCUCACUGGCCCGAUACUGACGCUGAGGUGCGAAAGCGUGGGGAGCAAACAGG
Molecule: ribosomal RNA, 253 nt
Filed under: uncultured bacterium
Lineage: Bacteria
Description: partial 16S ribosomal RNA
Rfam family: Bacterial small subunit ribosomal RNA
Source: RNAcentral